ACGUGAGGAGCUGGAGUCAGUUUUUCGCAGGAAAUCAAGUUCUGGCAGUUUCGGGAGAACGGCCAUAACUUCCUCCACAGAACUCCGAUUCAGGCGAAACAGGCGGCCACGGAAAGCUCUCUCGAAGACAAAGAAGUCGUAUUUCUGGGCGAAAUACGAUUUGAGGACGUUUGAGGCUUCAAACGAAGGCUUGAAGCUGACUGGUCUGUUCAGCUGCGAGUUUGACGAAAACUUUAGAAAUUUCAAGAGUUCAUAUAGGGAUGCGUUGGUAGAAAUCAUCAAAGGGAGUUAUCAAUUUCAAGAAUUAGUUUUGCAGUUUCAGAGUCGAAGUGGCCAUGGAAGUGGAGAAUGACUAGGGAUAAGGAUUUCUUUUACAUUGGACAUUUUAGUUGAACUUAUUAAGUUUUAUUUUAUUUUCAUGUUACUACUUUAGUUUUGGCAAGUUGACUUUGAAAUUAGUUUAAAUUUUCUUUAUAAAUCAAUAAAUUUUAUUUUCACUA
Long non-coding RNA from Salvia miltiorrhiza (redroot sage), 500 nucleotides. RefSeq lists it as uncharacterized. NCBI's taxonomy places the organism in Eukaryota, Viridiplantae, Streptophyta, Magnoliopsida, Lamiales, Lamiaceae. The transcript is spliced from 2 exons. The record is from RefSeq and is a predicted model, not a curated record.